This 253-nucleotide ribosomal RNA is filed under the name uncultured bacterium. RNAcentral describes it as "partial 16S ribosomal RNA". It matches the Rfam family "Bacterial small subunit ribosomal RNA", at positions 524 to 776 of the family's 1533-position model. The record is from RNAcentral.
GACAGAGGGUGCAAACGUUGUUCGGAAUUACUGGGCGUAAAGCGCGUGUAGGCUGCUUCGCAAGUCGGAUGUGAAAGCCCUGGGCUCAACCCAGGAAGUGCAUUCGAAACUGCAGAGCUGGAGUCCUGGAGAGGAAGGCGGAAUUCUCGGUGUAGAGGUGAAAUUCGUAGAUAUCGAGAGGAACACCGGUGGCGAAGGCGGCCUUCUGGACAGUGACUGACGCUGAGACGCGAAAGCGUGGGGAGCGAACAGG